GUAGGUGGCAAGCGUUGUCCGGGAAUUAUUGGGGCGUAAAGCGCGCGCAGGCGGUUCUUUAAGUCUGGAUGUGAAAGCCCACGGGCUCAACCGUGGGAGGGUCAUUGGAAACUGGAGAACUUGAGUACAGAAGAGGAAAGCGGAAUUCCACGUGUAGCGGUGAAAUGCGUAGAGAUGUGGAGGAACACCAGUGGCGAAGGCGGCUUUCUGGUCUGUAACUGACGCUGAGGCGCGAAAGCGUGGGGAGCAAACAGGAUUAGAUACCCUGGUAGUCCACGCCGUAAGCGAUGAGUGCUAAGUGUUAGGGGGUUUCCGCCCCUUAGUGCUGCAGCUAACGCAUUAAGCACUCCGCCUGGGGAGUACGGCCGCAAAGGCUGA
Molecule: ribosomal RNA, 378 nt
Filed under: uncultured organism
Description: partial 16S ribosomal RNA
Rfam family: Bacterial small subunit ribosomal RNA
Source: RNAcentral